This 9377-nucleotide long non-coding RNA is filed under the name Triticum aestivum (bread wheat). RNAcentral describes it as "long non-coding RNA (TAES_LNC002004)". The record is from RNAcentral. Lineage: Eukaryota; Viridiplantae; Streptophyta; Magnoliopsida; Poales; Poaceae.
GAUGCAAUGGGGAAGAAGGGGGUAGAAUAAGGUCAGGUGAUUAACUCACGUGUCUUAUACCACAGUAGCUAUUUCCCUUUUUGUCUUCUUAUAAUAUUUUGGUUCUGGUGUUACGAAAUCAAUCAAUCUAUAUUCUAUAGAUGAAGUGGGUGGGGAAAGAGAGGAAGAAAGGUAAGUUGUUAAAAUGAAAGAAACAACAAUGGGGUGGUUAAUUUCUUGUAAGUUGUUAAAAUGAAAGAUGAACGAUUUCACUGUACUUGUGGUUGGUUCAACUGUACCGUCAUGACCCAAUGGAGACUCACAUUUCCACUGUGUUCUGUAUUUGUGCCCGAGCUGCUAACCUUCUGCCGAGCUAUAGCUAUCCCAACCAAUGCAUAUCACAACGAUGACAUGCUCUGUUCUAUCGGAUGAGUUCCCGGCCUGGAUCUUAUAGUAAGAACCAGUGCGUGCACACUGACAGGCACGCCACCACCUUGACAAACUAACCAUGGACAACUUUGCUAUCACGGGAUAUGUACAUUGUUACACACACCUGAGACACCGACGGCGAACUACCCCCAACCGCCACCGGGGCGUUCGAGUGCCCCACUAUGCUUCUCCAGGGAGAUGAAAGAGGGGGAAGGAAAGAACACACACACCAACAGCUACAUUCUUCUCCCAUCUCAGCGGGGCGAAGACAACACCCUGAAGUUGUGCGUGGCUCUCUAAGAAAUAAUGAAGAAACGACAGGCAGGAAAAACUGAUAAGCUACACGGAAGAAAGAAGAGAUCUAAUCAGUUGGCACCAAUCAUUGUUGAUGACAAUCUAUAAUCUACACAGUUGCUACAAGGAUGCAGGUCAAGUGACAAUCAUAAGGUUGUUUUCGUUCCCAUGGUUGUUCACGCUAGGGCGCAGCGGGUCGUUCUUCCAAACACCAUCAACAAUAAAUUUAAUCUGAAGCACAAACCAACACCCACUAUCAGAUGACGAGAAAGCAGUGACAAUGAAAGCAGAAUAGCACGCCAUUACCUCAUAUCUACCGGGAUACAACCUCAGGUUAUACGAAAAAAUGCCGCUUUCUGAUUGUUCCAUCCUUCUCUACAAAAAGGAAAUAGUCCAGUGUUUGAUUAUACUCAAGAAUAAGACGAUAGCGAUGAUGAUGUGUAGAUAGAUGACAAAACGUGUCAUAGGCACAUGGAACAGAGUGUGAUUAAGCAGGCAAGCACAGAGCUAUAUAUAUUACUCCCUCUGUACCGAAAUACAUGUCGCUGGAGUAGUUGACUUACUGCUACUCCAGCGACAUGUAUUUCGGUACAGAGGGAGUACGUAACAAAGAGACUUCCUGCAGUACACAGCCCAAAGCAGACAACAUUCCAUGGACAUUCAUAUAAUUAGAUGUUUAAAUAUUCAAUAUCUUGAAAGUUAUAUCAAAGGAGCGACAAGAGAGGUGAAAUGGCAUAACAAAUUCAUACUCCCUCCGUCCUGAAUUACUUGUCUUAGAUUUGUCUAGAUAGGUACAUCCCUAUCUAGACAAAUCUAAGACAAGUAAUUUGGGACACAGGUAAUAUUUCUUACUCUAGAACCAAAUUUGAUUUGUACUACUAACAUUCUUCUGCUGGCUGAUCUGAAUUGUGUUGUGUGCUCCAUGGAAAUGCAAAUAUCAUGUAUACAAAAUAAAACUAAACAGCACCCCCAUACAUAUGAAAGUGAAACUAAGAUCUAUAAUGGCAGAAUGUUGUCCUUCAGGCUUCUACAUCUAGUACCUAUCCUAUAUGUGCUUGAACUACUGAACAUCCUUUUGGAUAUGUCAGUCAUGUGACCAGUAUCCUCCUAGGAACUGACUAAAUCUCAGCUAAAGGUACCAGAUAAAGAUAUACUCCCUCCCUAACUUAAUAUGAGACAUUUUUCACAUUGUCAUAGACUCUAAAAAUGUCUUAUAAAAAGUUGCAGAGGUAGUAUAUUUGUUGCUAGGUCUUGCCUAGUGAAGCUCUUGUAAAAUUGUGCUGCUUCAGUUUCCACUUAAUAUAAAAUGAUAAAUACAUACUCCCUCCGUUCCUUUUUAUAAGAUGUUUUUUUAAAGUCCACCUUUUCCAUCUUUGACCAAGUUUAUAUAGAAAAAAGUAUCAACAUCUACAAUGCCAAAUCAGUAUCAUCAGACCCUUCAUGAAAAAUAUUUCCAUAUUUUAUGUAUUUAGUAUUGCAUACAUUGAUUCUUUUAUAAACUUGGUCAAAGGGAGAAAAGUUUGACUUUCCAACAAACCAAUACAAGCCAUAAAAAGGAACGGAAGGAGUAUUAACAAAUAUAUGAAGAUUCCAUGUGCUUUUCCUUUUUCUUUUGGCAUAUAAAACAAUGUUUCUAAACUUCCAAAUCCAAAUAGCACGUAGUAUUUCUAACACAAAAGUUAUGGACACGUGUUGUCACAAUUGUGCCUAUGCCAAAAACAGCACCAACAACCAAAAUCAGAUUAAAAACUUGCUUUACUCCUAGAAACAUAUACGUAAUAAACAUCUUUCAAAGCACUUGGGCGCCUUCGAUCCCUACCAUUCUCGUAACUAUCAUGUUGCUAGUUCCUGAAGUUACUUUACUUGUGUGUGAACCACAUCAAAUUAAGUACUCCCUCCGUAAUAUGGACCGGAGGGAGUAUUGUGUUUGUUUUGCACUCAUUAAGAAAUGAAUUAACUGUGCACAUGAUAAGGUGUUGGCAGUAAAUUGCAUUUACACAACUUAGGAGAGCAGCAAUAGAUCCAGCUUCUCUCUUCAUUAAUAUUCAACUUAAUACAUAAAUCAAUGGAAUUCACCUGACAACUAACACCAAAGAGUGAUAGAAAUUGAAAUCACGAACUGCCACUCAUUUUAUAGUUAGUUACUGAAGUUUAUAUAUUUACUAAUUAAGCAGAGAAUAGGAACAUGCACUUACUUGGCUUGUCCACCCAUCAAAAGAACCGGUCAAUAGAACUUCUGAAGCAGGAUUGGGCCAUACAACAGAUACUGUGCGGAGCUCACUCAAAGCCUUCUCAACUUCAUCAAGCCUCGUUUGCUUUUCUUCAAUUAUUUUGUUCUUCUCACUGAUAUCAACAGAAUAAGUCAUAAAAGAGAUUGAUACAAAAUAAAAAGCGUAGAUGAACAACAUUCAAUUGUGAGUGACCAUACAUUAUUUCUAGCGCCACCUUGCCUUCUAAUACUGCUAUUUUAGCACGGAUUGUCCGUAAUUCUUCCUGGGCAUGCAUUACUUUUGUCUCUUCAAAUUCCCAAUCAUCAGAGAACCCAUUUACCACAUCUGCUUCUUCGCCAUUUGACUGGAAAAUGGAAGGGCAAAGAUGGAUGCUCAGAACAAGUAUAUUGCCUCUAGAAAAAUCAAGAUGAGAUGCAUCAAGAUCUUCCAUUAUCGUUUUAGUUUCAUAUCAGCGUGGGCCAAGUCUCGAAAAUCAGAAACUUCCUACCAGUAAUACAAUGGUUCUAAAAACAAGAAUGUGUAAUAAUUUGCAAACUAAAUCAUUGCGACCAACAAAGCAUGGAAACGGCCGAAACUGCCGAAUUGCCGUCCUAAUUCGUUGCGACACGGCGAUAUGGCCGGACAUGCCAAGAUACGCGUGUCCCCCAGUAUCCCCUGAUUUCCUAAUUAAAGAAAGGAAAAAACAAAGACACAGCUGGGAUACGUAUGGAAUACGUUGGGGACACAGGAAGCUCAAUAACAGCCUUGGCCCGAUACAAACCCUAUUUUGCAAGGUCGCACACACGCUUGCCACUAAAGGAACGCUGCUCCAAGUCGAACGCGCUAUCACCGCCGCCCCCUGGACUCAACCGCCCGAUGGCAACCACGCUCAAGCAGAUAACCCCAGCAGCCUCUUCUCAACCUCUUCAUAUCUUUGCUCGAUUUCUUGCUGUUGAGUCUGCUGCUUGCUUCCCCAUGCGUCCAUGCCGUUGCUGCUUGCUCUUGAGCUGCUGCUCACUUGCAUGCUGGUGCCUGGUGCUGCUGUUUUGAUUGUUGCUUGAUGUUAGGGAGCAUGGCGUUUGGGAGCGCCACCACCGGUGGCCAAUCGUCCAUGGGUGAGGGUGAAAGUUACACCUGCAUCCUUUGUUGCAUGUCUUCUCCAGUCUCUACUCUCUAAUAGACUAAUACUAGCAUUUGAUGUAUUUUGCAAGUUGCAAUGACAUGGGUCUAGAGGAUCAAUUAAUUCAAUCAUUGAGCACUUGAAAAACAAUACAACAAAUGGAAAUGGGGCAGUAUUCUGAUCUUAUCUCAGUUUCUCUUCAUUUUUUUAACUCUAUAUUACAUGGCAUGUUUUAAUUUUUUUCAUAUAUACUCGCCGUAUCCCUGAAUGGCUGUUUAAUGCCGUAUCCCGUGUCCCCUAGGCGUAUCGCUGUGUCCAUGUCUCCGUACCUGUGCUUUUUAUUUUGCGACUAGCUAACUACUUCCUCGUAGAGAACACAACUACAUUCAGCAAUCAGCAUUGCAAGGGAAUAUUAUUAGCUAUAGUCAUUUGUUUGCGUUGCGAAAUCACAACAUUGCAAGAAAAGAUAGUGGAUAUACAGUGAAUAUCUACAGAUAUAAAAUCAAAAUUUAUGGAAGUUGUUCCGUUGGCAAAUGAACUUGUACCAUUUUCAUGUUGUCAGACUGCAUAUUGAUGAGGAUACUGUUACAGUGUUAGUCAAAAUCAAAAAAUUUGACUGCAUGCAUCCAAAGAUGGCACUUUUCUAGUGAUGGGCGAGGGUAUGAUGCAGACAGUGUUUAGUGCAUAAAGAGAAAAUUAGAGCAAGCAGAACCACAUCUUCAGGUGUGUUUUGUUAGGAACAGCAGAGCCAUGUCUAGUACAAUGCAUAAACAACUUUACAAAUGCAUAAGUGAAGAAAACUGAAUGCAAAACCACACUAAAAUCUCAAGAUCACGUAUCCCACCAGUAUUUCACAACAAAAGAUAGAUAAGUAAAGAAGAUGAUACGAGAGACGAGACACACCAUAUAUGACGAAACUCCAUCAAAUCUUGAUCUUAAUGUCUUAAGAGAAUCUGCAAGAUCGAAUUCCAAAUUUUGAAAACGUGCAUGUAUCUCAUCUCUUUCAGAGUCUACAUGAUCACUAGGAUAAUCAUUUAUAACCACACCAUUAGAUGGUCCAGGAACAUCAUCUUCUAUCAACACAGUGUUCAGGUCAACAUGUUUUGGUGGUUUUCUGCUCAAAGGAUGGAUCUCAGCGGCUGUCAGCAUAUUAAACAUGUUAUGAAAUAAUCAUAACAGAUAUGAUGCGCAACGAAAGAAAGUUAAGUUAUCAUAUAACCUUCAAAAUCAGAAAACCGACUCUUGUCAAGAGACCAUGUUCGCCAUGCAUCAUUGGCCGAACUACUUGAUUUGUUGUCCUCUGGUAUUCCAUUUUGAGAAUGAGAGCGGUGUAUAUUUCCAUUCACAGGUAUCCUUCGAGUGUACAUGCCAUUAGUUGGACUUCGACUAGGAGCUCCAUUAUGGUUCAUUAAAGCUGCAUGUAUGUAACACAGAAGUAUGAUCAUUAAUAUACAAAUGAAGAAACACCAGCUAGAAAUUAAGUAUAUGGUACAUCAGAAUAAAGGUUCACAUACAUAAUUAUCCAGAAGCUCUCUAACAAAAAAUAUCCAUUAGUUGUCCAUCAAUAACAAACCAACGCUAUUUUCUAUUAUAUAAGGUGGAACUCUUUCAAUUUUCCUCUCCGAGUCUCCAGCCAAAAGUUUACAAUGUGUACUUUUUACUGUUGAUACUAAUAGAGUACCGAGAAAAUGAUCCGUGUGCACUAAAUCAGUAAAAUACCUAAACACAUGGUCAAUCUUAAAGCGGUCAUUAAUUAGUAAAUAUAUUUGCAAAACGCAGAGUCUACUAACUUCAAUCAACCAUGUAUAUCUAGGGAGCAUGGACCCUUCAAUUCAUUUAGGUGUUAGGGGGCAACUAUUAACAGCAGCAUAUUUGAAAUAGAAAAUGAAUUAUCCUCCGUGUAUUGUAAGAGAUUUAACACAAAAAAGCCAUUAGCUUGGAAGGACCAAAUGCUGAAAUGGGCAGAGUAAUAACAAAGCUAAACCAGUUGUAUGUAACAGAACAUAUUACUACUAUGAUUAAAAGGCACAAACAAAAUAAUGUGGUAGUCUUCUGUAGAUUCACGAUUACUCAAAUAAUUGCAGUGCUGUCAAGGUGCAAACAACUUUACAUUAAGCAGUAGCACGACGACAAAAAAUAUGUCGGAUCAUGAGAAAGAAAGUUCUAACGCCACGCUUCUAUUUUUAGAAAGCGACAUAGAACAAAAAACGGUAUGUUUGUCCCCUUUGCAACCUUAAAUGGAAAGCGCUAAACUACUGCACUGCUAGUUAUAUAUGUCGGGGGAAAGGGAAGUCCGGUCCGUGAGAACAGACAGCUUUUGCAUGAACUAUUGUCGGCGGCACUUCCUUCCUGCCCGGCAUGAGCUUAGCAUUAAUUUUAUCCAGCAGAGCAUUAAGCCUUCCACGGGCUGUAACUAAACAAUAUGGCACAAUGAGCUGUAUACUAUGCAAAGUUUCAUUGGUUGCAAAAGUUGGUGUUCCCUUAUCAACAAACAUAUAACUGUUUGCAAAGAAGAUGCUCAUGUUGCACAACUGAAAACAACACAUGUUUCGAUAGAACGCCAAGAGUCGAAGCUGCACAUACCGCCAUUUUGACCUCGCCCUCCCGCUUGAUUCUUGCUGCGUGGCGGUGGCCGCGCACGCUCCCUCUCUCUCCGCAGCCUGGCGAGCAUUCCCUCCAGGCCUGCCCCAGACCCUGCCUCCCUGCAAUCGAUUACGUAGCAACAAGCAAAAUCAAUAAGGAACCAGCAUAUAUCAAUCAAAAUAACUCAAAAGAGAUUUAGCAGGCACCCACUCUGUCUCCUCCGUCUCCGGCUGCCUCCCAGACGGCGCCGGUUCCUGCUGCUCCCUGCAACACUCGGAAUUCAGCAAGUCGUCGCAGAGCAAUCAACAGAGGGGGACACAUUACAUUACAGAGCGGCUCGGUUACCCACCUUACGGAAUCCGCGGCCGAGUUUGGCGGUCGGCCAGAAGGACCCGCCUCGGGCGGGUAUUCAGGGUGCACGCCGGGGCCGGCCGUUGACGCAGCCGGCCGCCGCGCGUCGUCGUCGGAGGACCAGGACCAUCCGAGGGAGAGCCAGCCUCCGCUGGACUCGACGGCGGCGGCGAGGUCGGCGCGCCCCGCGGCGAGGAGCUCGGCGCGGGUGGGGAAGGCGCCGGGCUUGUCGGAGCGGCGCAUGAAGUCGUAGAUCGCCUCCUCGAGCUCCUCCUGGCCCCGCGGGCCGCGCUGCGGCGGCGCGGGCGCAUUGGGCGGGCGCGGGGCCGGGGCGGGGGCGGGCUGGCGGCGGUAGGGCUGCCGCGGCGGGGGCCUGUAGGCGGCGCAGACGCAGACGCGGCCGCGGCAGGGCUGCGGCCCGUAGGCGGCGGCGGCGGCGAAGACGCGGUGGCGGCNNNNNNNNNNNNNNNNNNNNNNNNNNNNNNNNNNNNNNNNNNNNNNNNNNNNNNNNNNNNNNNNNNNNNNNNNNNNNNNNNNNNNNNNNNNNNNNNNNNNNNNNNNNNNNNNNNNNNNNNNNNNNNNNNNNNNNNNNNNNNNNNNNNNNNNNNNNNNNNNNNNNNNNNNNNNNNNNNNNNNCGAGGGGAGGAAGGGGGGCAUCGCCGUCGCAUUUCUCUGCCGCUCCCCGAGCGGCGAGGGCGGGAGCUUUCCCUGGACUGGAGAGCGGAGGAGGGAGGGGGGGAAACGGGGAAAAAAAACUGAGCCACGCGAGCGCCGUCCACCACCACACACGUCACGUCCCUGCCGCGGCGAGCUCUCCGUGACCCGUUGCCGUGCCUGCGUCUGGCCUCGGGUGUGCGUGCGUGUGGUAUGUCGGCCUGGUCGACUGCUACGCUACCCUGCGCCGCCGUCGCCACCGGUCGCCGUCGCCGCGCUCCGCUGGCCACAGAUCAUCGACGUCCGGGCCACGGAAGGGCGGACUUUAAUACGCUUUGCUUUUUGAUUGAUCGGUCGGUCGAUGGAGGCACGGCGUGACGAACGAUGGAAACGUCGAGGCGUGUCGUGUGAGAACCCUGGUGCGUGCGUUCUGCGCUUUUCUGGCCGACGGCUCUACUCGUGGUGCACCCCCCUCUUGGAUAAGUUUUCUUCUCUUUCUUUUCUGAACUCCCCUCUUGGACACGUUGAUGUGUGUGACUUUUUGUCAAUUCGCUGGACGCAAAGUUAAAAGAAGGGACAUAUGGCCCUGUUUGGUUCAGCUUUUAUCGACGGAUUACGCUGCCGCGCAGCAGAAUCUGAAUCAAAGGGCGAACCUAGCAGAAUCCGAUUUCAGAAAUCCGCCAUCAAAAUUUGAACCAAAAGCGGAAGCAGCCCAGGACGUGCUUUCCAAAAUCUGAUUCCGCUGCGGGCCAAAAUCUGAAAAGACUGUAUCAGCUGGUUUGACAAAUGACCUACAUCUUUUUCACAUCAGAUUUUCUACAGCUGUUUUUCUACAGCAGAUUUUUCACAGCUGCUUUUAGAAAUCCACAGCCGAACCAAAUAAGGCCAUUAGGGCGUGUCCAACGCCGACCCGCGACAGGACACGGUAUUUGUCCGAAAAUGUUGGCCUUAAAAAAGUAGCGGCCGUGAUUUGUAAUUUGUCUAAGAGCUAUAAGCUACUAAUUUCCGUCAAUGCUACUCAUAAGCAUUUGGCGGAAAGCUAGCUUUCGCCAAAUGAAGUUACUAAGAGCAUUUCCAGCCGCGUCUCCAACAGCCCCCAGGUCAUUUUUUGGGCGUCGACGUAAAAAAAAGCCCUAGUCGUGCCCCCUAGGACGUCGAAAAGCGCCGGUUCGGCCCGUUUUUGGGCCUGGCGCUCGCAGGCCGAACCCGGCACACUGGGGGGCGAUCGGGGGCUCCGGCGCAAGGGAAAAGCGCGGCUGGCCCACCCCGUCAGGUGAAAAGUCAAGUUUUUUUCCCGUCUCGCCUCUCACACCCCGCGCCCUCGGCCGCCACUAGCUGUAUCCCGGCGCCGAUCGCUGCCCUUCACUGCUAGAUAGCCAAUCCCCGCCGGAAAAAUAGCAGAGUUCGCCGAGGCAGCCCCUCCACCAGCAGCUGGGCGUUUCCGGCCGCUGAGGGGCAGUUUAGCGGCGGGUACACGCCCACCGGCGCGCAAGGUGUUCGGCGAUUUGCCUCCCUCGGCGAGAUGGCACUACUAGGAAAAAGCCUAGUAGUAGCGCGGGUUAAAAGCUAGUAGUAGCGCGGGUGCCUGCGCUACUACUACGACGCUACAACUAACUAGUAGUAGUAGCGCGGUGCAUCCCGCGCUACUAGUACGUGUGUUAGUAGUAGCGCGGGUUCGACACGCGCUACUACUAACUAUCUGUAGCGCGUGUCUGUGACCCGCGCUACUACUAUUAAUUUGAAAACCAAAAAAAAAU